GAUGAACGCUGGCGGCGUGCUUAACACAUGCAAGUCGAACGGAAAGGCCGAAGCUUGCUUCGGUACUCGAGUGGCGAACGGGUGAGUAACACGUGGGUGAUCUGCCCUGUACUUCGGGAUAAGCUUGGGAAACCGGGUCUAAUACCGGAUAUGACGAUCUCUUGGAUGGGGUUGUGGAAAGCUUUUGCGGUAUGGGAUGAGCUCGCGGCCUAUCAGCUUGUUGGUGGGGUAAUGGCCUACCAAGGCGUCGACGGGUAGCCGGCCUGAGAGGGUGUACGGCCACAUUGGGACUGAGAUACGGCCCAGACUCCUACGGGAGGCAGCAGUGGGGAAUAUUGCACAAUGGGCGCAAGCCUGAUGCAGCGACGCCGCGUGGGGGAUGACGGCCUUCGGGUUGUAAACUCCUUUCGCAAUCGACGAAGCCUUUUGGUGACGGUAGGUUGAGAAGAAGCACCGGCUAACUACGUG
Molecule: ribosomal RNA, 468 nt
Filed under: uncultured bacterium
Lineage: Bacteria
Description: partial 16S ribosomal RNA
Rfam family: Bacterial small subunit ribosomal RNA
Source: RNAcentral